Molecule: ribosomal RNA, 468 nt
Filed under: uncultured bacterium
Lineage: Bacteria
Description: partial 16S ribosomal RNA
Rfam family: Bacterial small subunit ribosomal RNA
Source: RNAcentral
GACGAACGCUGGCGGCGUGCUUAACACAUGCAAGUCGAACGGAAAGGCCCUGCUUUUGUGUGUUGCUCGAGUGGCGAACGGGUGAGUAACACGUGAGUAACCUGCCCUUGACUUUGUGAUAACUUCACGAGACUGGGGCUCAUACCGGAUAGGAGCUCCUGCUGCAUGGUGUGGGUUGGAAAGUUUCGGCGGUUGUGGAUGGACUCGCGGCUUAUCAGCUUGUUUGUGGGGUAGUGGCUUACCAAGGCUUUGACGGGUAGCCGGCCUGAGAGGGUGACCGGCCACAUUGGGACUGAGAUACGGCCCAGAAUCCUACGGGAGGCAGCAGGGGGGAAUAUUGCAGAAUGGGCGGAAGUCUGAUGCAGAAACGCCGCGUGCGGGAUGACGGCCUUCGGGUUGUAAACAGAUUUCGACUGAGACGAAGCGUGAGUGACGGUAAUGGGUAAAGAAGCACCGGCUAACUACGUG